This 75-nucleotide transfer RNA is filed under the name Planctomycetaceae bacterium. Its description in RNAcentral is "tRNA-Asn". The record is from RNAcentral. Lineage: Bacteria; Pseudomonadati; Planctomycetota; Planctomycetia; Planctomycetales; Planctomycetaceae.
UGCGGUGGGUCCGGUGUUGGUACGGUAAGACGACUGUUAAUCGUCCCGACUCAGGUUCGAUUCCUGCCACCGCAG